UUCUUUAAGAAAUAAUUUAAAGUAAAACCUGCUCAAUGUAACACCCAUAAAUAGCCGCAGUUCCACUGUGCUAAGGUAGCAUAAUCACUAGCUUCUUAAUUAGAAGACCGCAUGAAAGGUAAAACGAAAUAAAACUGUUUCUAAUAAUAAAAUAAAUUUAAUUUUCUAUGUAAAAAAGCAAGAAUAAAUAAACAAGACGACAAGACCCUGAUAAACUUAUCAUUUAGUUGGGGCAACUUAAUAAAUAAACUUUAUACAAAUAAACAAACCCAUCCCUAACAUAAUAGGAAUUUAAUAGUUACUACAGGGAUAACAGCGCAAUUUUUCUUUAGAGCUCACAUCCCAAGAAAAGCUUACGACCUCGAUGUUGAAUUAAUUAUACUAUAAACCGCAAAAGAAUUAUAAGUCAGUCUGUUCGACUACUAACCAAUU
RNAcentral lists this ribosomal RNA (432 nucleotides) under Metagonia sp. Br15-101. RNAcentral describes it as "partial 16S ribosomal RNA". Lineage: Eukaryota; Metazoa; Arthropoda; Arachnida; Araneae; Pholcidae. The record is from RNAcentral.